RNAcentral lists this ribosomal RNA (540 nucleotides) under Cladosporium cycadicola. Its description in RNAcentral is "eukaryotic LSU rRNA". The stretch from base 199 to 352 matches the Rfam family "5.8S ribosomal RNA". The record is from RNAcentral. Lineage: Eukaryota; Fungi; Ascomycota; Dothideomycetes; Cladosporiales; Cladosporiaceae.
UGUAACAAGGUCUCCGUAGGUGAACCUGCGGAGGGAUCAUUACAAGUGACCCCCGGCUCCGGCUGGGAUGAUCAUAACCCUUUGCUGUCCGACUCUGUUGCCUCCGGGGCGACCCUGCCUCCGGGCGGGGGCCCCGGGUGGACACAUUCAAACUCUUGCGUAACUUUGCAGUCUGAGUAAAUUUAAUUAAUAAAUUAAAACUUUCAACAACGGAUCUCUUGGUUCUGGCAUCGAUGAAGAACGCAGCGAAAUGCGAUAAGUAAUGUGAAUUGCAGAAUUCAGUGAAUCAUCGAAUCUUUGAACGCACAUUGCGCCCCCUGGUAUUCCGGGGGGCAUGCCUGUUCGAGCGUCAUUUCACCACUCAAGCCUCGCUUGGUAUUGGGCGACGCGGUCCGCCGCGCGCCUCAAAUCGACCGGCUGGGUCUUCUGUCCCCUCAGCGUUGUGGAAACUAUUCGCUAAAGGGUGCCACGGGAGGCUACGCCGUAAAACAAGCCCAUUUUCUAAGGUGACCUCGAUCAAGUAAUGGUAAAUUUAAUCCC